CCUUAUGAAUAUAAUUUAAGGUCUAAUCUGCCCGAUGAAGAAUUGAAUGGCCGCGGUAUUUUGACCGUGCAAAGGUAGCAUAAUCAUUAGUUUUUUAAUUGAAAGCUGGAAUGAAGGAUUGAAUGAGAAAAUAACUGUCUCAAAUUAAUUUUUUUUAAAAAUUUAUUUUUAAGUUAAAAAGCUUAAAUAUUAUUAAAAGACGAGAAGACCCUAUAGAGUUUAAUAAUUAAAGUUAAUUUAAAUGGAUUGUUUAUAUAAACUUAUAAUAACUUAAUUAUUUUGUUGGGGUGAUAAAAAAAUUAAAUAAACUUUUUUUUUAUCUUAAUACUUAUAAGUAAAUUUUUGAUCCAAAAUUUUUGAUUAUAAGAUUAAAUUACCUUAGGGAUAACAGCGUAAUUUUUUUAAAGAGUUCUUAUCGAAAAAAAAGAUUGCGACCUCGAUGUUGGAUUAAAAUUAAGUUUUGGUGUAGAAGCUAAAAUUUUAGGUCUGUUCGACCUUUAAAACUUU
This 507-nucleotide ribosomal RNA is filed under the name Cymatodera brevicollis. RNAcentral describes it as "partial 16S ribosomal RNA". The stretch from base 384 to 507 matches the Rfam family "Bacterial large subunit ribosomal RNA", at positions 2473 to 2597 of the family's 2925-position model. The record is from RNAcentral. Lineage: Eukaryota; Metazoa; Arthropoda; Insecta; Coleoptera; Cleridae.